GGAGCGGUGUCCGAGUGGUCGAUGGUGACGGUCUUGAAAACCGUUGAACCGAAAGGUUCCGGGAGUUCGAAUCUCCCCUGCUCCGC
RNAcentral lists this transfer RNA (86 nucleotides) under Spirochaetia bacterium. Its description in RNAcentral is "tRNA-Ser". It matches the Rfam family "tRNA". From Rfam's summary of the family: Transfer RNA (tRNA) molecules are approximately 80 nucleotides in length. Their secondary structure includes four short double-helical elements and three loops (D, anti-codon, and T loops). Further hydrogen bonds mediate the characteristic L-shaped molecular structure. tRNAs have two regions of fundamental functional importance: the anti-codon, which is responsible for specific mRNA codon recognition, and the 3' end, to which the tRNAs corresponding amino acid is attached (by aminoacyl-tRNA synthetases). tRNAs cope with the degeneracy of the genetic code in two manners: having more than one tRNA (with a specific anti-codon) for a particular amino acid; and 'wobble' base-pairing, i.e. permitting non-standard base-pairing at the 3rd anti-codon position. Lineage: Bacteria; Pseudomonadati; Spirochaetota; Spirochaetia. The record is from RNAcentral.